CUGGCUCAGAACGAACGCUGGCGGCGUGCUUACACAUGCAAGUCGGAUGCGAACGGCGCUUUCGGGCGUUGAGUAGCAUGGCAGACGGGUGAGGAGCGCGUAUCUGACUGGACUCAGGCUGGGGGAUAGUCCCUCGAAAGGGGGUUGAAUACCGCAUGUGCUCGGUGCUGUGAGGGCAUCGAGGAAAGUUGGCCUCUGCGGGCACGCUGAUGGCCUGAGACAGGGAUGCGUCCUAUUAGCUAGCUGGUGGGGUAAGGGCCUACCAGGGCGACGAUGGGUAGCUGGUCUGAGAGGAUGAUCAGCCACACUGGGACUGCGACACGGCCCAGACUCCUACGGGAGGCAGCAGUGGGGAAUUUUGCGCAAUGGGCGCAAGCCUGACGCAGCAACGCCGCGUGCAUGACGACGCCUUUCGAGGUGUAAAGUGCUGUCGACCGGGACGAAGGGGCGAGGGUGAACAGCUUUCGCGCAUGACGGUACCGGUGGAGGAAGCCCCGGCUAACUCCGUGCCAGCAGCCGCGGUAAGACGGAGGGGGCGAGCGUUGUUCGGAAUUACUGGGCGUAAAGCGCGCGUAGGCGGUGCAGCAAGUGGUGCGUGAAAGCCCUCGGCUUAACCGGGGACGGGCGU
RNAcentral lists this ribosomal RNA (628 nucleotides) under uncultured organism. RNAcentral's name for it is "bacterial SSU rRNA". It matches the Rfam family "Bacterial small subunit ribosomal RNA", at positions 19 to 626 of the family's 1533-position model. The record is from RNAcentral.